GACGAACGCUGGCGGCGUGCUUAACACAUGCAAGUCGAACGGAAAGGCCCUGCUUUUGUGGGGUGCUCGAGUGGCGAACGGGUGAGUAACACGUGAGUAACCUGCCCUUGACUUUGGGAUAACUUCAGGAAACUGGGGCUAAUACCGGAUAGGAGCUCCUGCUGCAUGGUGGGGGUUGGAAAGUUUCGGCGGUUGGGGAUGGACUCGCGGCUUAUCAGCUUAUUGGUGGGGUAGUGGCUUACCAAGGCUUUGACGGGUAGCCGGCCUGAGAGGGUGACCGGCCACAUUGGGACUGAGAUACGGCCCAGACUCCUACGGGAGGCAGCUGUGGGGAAUAUUGCACAAUGGGCGGAAGCCUGAUGCAGCAACGCCGCGUGCGGGAUGACGGCCUUCGGGUUGUAAACCGCUUUCGCCUGUGACGAAGCGUGAGUGACGGUAAUGGGUAAAGAAGCACCGGCUAACUACGUG
RNAcentral lists this ribosomal RNA (468 nucleotides) under uncultured bacterium. RNAcentral's name for it is "partial 16S ribosomal RNA". It matches the Rfam family "Bacterial small subunit ribosomal RNA", at positions 28 to 507 of the family's 1533-position model. The record is from RNAcentral.